RNAcentral lists this ribosomal RNA (404 nucleotides) under uncultured Oscillospiraceae bacterium. RNAcentral's name for it is "bacterial SSU rRNA". It matches the Rfam family "Bacterial small subunit ribosomal RNA", at positions 356 to 774 of the family's 1533-position model. Lineage: Bacteria; Bacillati; Bacillota; Clostridia; Eubacteriales; Oscillospiraceae. The record is from RNAcentral.
GGGGAAUAUUGGGCAAUGGGGGAAACCCUGACCCAGCAACGCCGCGUGAAGGAAGAAGGCUUUCGGGUUGUAAACUUCUUUUAUGAGGGACGAAAAAAAUGACGGUACCUCAUGAAUAAGCCACGGCUAACUACGUGCCAGCAGCCGCGGUAAUACGUAGGUGGCAAGCGUUGUCCGGAUUUACUGGGUGUAAAGGGCGCGUAGGCGGGAAUGCAAGUCAGGUGUGAAAUCUAUGGGCUCAACCCGUAAACUGCACUUGAAACUGUGUUUCUUGAGUGAUGGAGAGGCAAGCGGAAUUCCUAGUGUAGCGGUGAAAUGCGUAGAUAUUAGGAGGAACACCAGUGGCGAAAGCGGCUUGCUGGACAUUAACUGACGCUGAGGCGCGAAAGCGUGGGGAGCAAACA